AGUCCUCACCUCCCACAUGCUUUUCAACACCCGCUCUCACAUCCCAUCUGGGGCCUCUGCUUGCAUCCUACCAUUUCGUAAGCCUGGCCAACUCAAGCUCCGUGUGCCGCACCUAGAGCAGCCCAUCUCUGUGUCAGCUUUCAUAAGGAGGAGUCAGAGAAGUAAUCUGGAGACACUAAGAGUCAAAGACAGGAAAAAUGGGCUUAAGCAGGAGGAAAAUUCCAGCAGGACAAAGAAACACAGGCUGGGAGGUGAACUGCUCAGUUGCCAGACUACCAACCUAAGCCCAGGACACUGCCAGACUGCUGAGUCAAAGGGGUUUAGCAGCCCAUUUUCAUAGACAGACAGGAGCAUUGAAGAAGGAAUGGCUUCAUGAUGGCAAUGAGCGGCAUUGCCUGAAAGACAGCCUUCGAGAGUCUCCCAGAGCCGCUGAGGAGCAAGGCAUUGAAACUCUGCGUGAGAACAAGUGGUGACAUUCUCCAGUGUGUGCCCUGACUUCCUCCAGAGGGGAGCAAAAGCCAAGCCAAGAAACAAUAGAGUGAGCGCUCUAAGCUCAAACACGUAAGUACAC
This 571-nucleotide non-coding RNA is filed under the name Pongo abelii (Sumatran orangutan). The record is from RNAcentral. Lineage: Eukaryota; Metazoa; Chordata; Mammalia; Primates; Hominidae.